Mesoplodon densirostris (Blainville's beaked whale) is the source of this 86-nucleotide small nucleolar RNA. RefSeq annotates it as small nucleolar RNA SNORD35. NCBI's taxonomy places the organism in Eukaryota, Metazoa, Chordata, Mammalia, Artiodactyla, Ziphiidae. The transcript has a single exon. The record is from RefSeq and is a predicted model, not a curated record.
AGCAGAUGAUGGCUUCCUCUCACAAUGGUCUGUGACACCACUGUGGCCAGUGCCAAUAAUGCCAAUGGCUCAGCUGAUGCCAGGAG